This 273-nucleotide ribosomal RNA is filed under the name uncultured bacterium. RNAcentral's name for it is "partial 16S ribosomal RNA". It matches the Rfam family "Bacterial small subunit ribosomal RNA", at positions 523 to 796 of the family's 1533-position model. The record is from RNAcentral.
AUACGGAGGGUGCAAGCGUUAAUCGGAAUUACUGGGCGUAAAGCGUACGUAGGCGGUUCGUUAAGUUAGAUGUGAAAGCCCCGGGCUUAACCUGGAACUGCAUUUAAAACUGGCGAACUAGAGUUGAGUAGAGGGGAGUGGAAUUUCAGGUGUAGCGGUGAAAUGCGUAGAGAUCUGAAGGAACACCAGUGGCGAAGGCGACUCCCUGGACUCGAACUGACGCUGAGGUACGAAAGCGUGGGUAGCAAACGGGAUUAGAAACCCCAGUAGUCC